RNAcentral lists this ribosomal RNA (587 nucleotides) under uncultured bacterium. Its description in RNAcentral is "bacterial SSU rRNA". It matches the Rfam family "Bacterial small subunit ribosomal RNA", at positions 338 to 917 of the family's 1533-position model. The record is from RNAcentral.
CCUACGGGAGGCAGCAGUGGGGAAUAUUGCACAAUGGGGGAAACCCUGAUGCAGCCAUGCCGCGUGUGUGAAGAAGGCCUUCGGGUUGUAAAGCACUUUCAGUUGUGAGGAAAGUUUAGUAGUUAAUACCUGCUAGAUGUGACGUUAGCAACAGAAGAAGCACCGGCUAACUCCGUGCCAGCAGCCGCGGUAAUACGGAGGGUGCGAGCGUUAAUCGGAAUUACUGGGCGUAAAGCGCACGCAGGCGGUCUGUUAAGCUAGAUGUGAAAGCCCCGCGCUCAACGUGGGAGGGUCAUUUAGAACUGGCAGACUAGAGUCUUGGAGAGGGGAGUGGAAUUCCAGGUGUAGCGGUGAAAUGCGUAGAGAUCUGGAGGAACAUCGAUGGCGAAGGCAACUCCCUGGCCAAAGACUGACGCUCAUGUGCGAAGGUGUGGGUAGCGAACAGGAUUAGAUACCCUGGUAGUCCACACCGUAAACGCUGUCUACUAGCUGUUUGUGAAUUUAAUUCGUGAGUAGCGAAGCUAACGCGAUAAGUAGACCGCCUGGGGAGUACGGCCGCAAGGUUAAAACUCAAAGGAAUUGACGGA